AUAGUUUGAUUCUAACUAAAUUAUUAAUUCUUAUUUUAUACCUCAUGUAAAUCAUAUCUAAAAGUACAAAAUUAAUAUAACAUUUAUGAAUAAUUUAAAUUUACAGUGGUUAAAACUAAUCAAUAUACGAAAGUAUGAACUGGUAAAAAUAUAUUAUAUUGGCCAAAUUCGUGCCAGCAGCCGCGGUUAGACGAAAAAUUUUUAAUAAUAAAACCUCUUAAAGAUAAAAUAUACAAUACUAAUAGGUUAAAUUAAAACUUAUUUUGUUCCUUAUUUGUCUUUAAUAAACUAUUUAUUAAAACAAGGAUUAGAUACCCUUUUAUUAAUAGCCUAUAUAAGGAGGUGGAAAAUACGAACAACAGUUUAAACACCAAAGAAUUUGGCGGUGUCUUACUAUAUUAGGGGAACCUGUCCCUUAAAUCGAUAAUCCACGAAAGUCUUACCUAAUUUUGAAACUCAGUUAGUGUACUGCCGUCUCAAGUAUACCUUUAUGAGAGUAUACAAUUAAUUACUCAAUAAAACGUCAGGUCAAAGUGCAGCUUAUAGUUAGGAGGAGAUGGGUUACAACCUAAAUAAAGAAUAUGGAUAAGGAUAAUAAACUAUCCUUUGAAGGUGGACUUAACAGUAAUUAUUAAUACUAUAAUGAAAAUUAUAUAAGACAAGUACAAAUCGCCCGUCACUCCCUCAGGGAUAAGUCGUAACAUAGUUGAUGUAACGGAAGUUGCAUCUGU
Molecule: non-coding RNA, 731 nt
Filed under: Placobdella parasitica
Lineage: Eukaryota; Metazoa; Annelida; Clitellata; Rhynchobdellida; Glossiphoniidae
Source: RNAcentral